ACCCAUCCUGGGAAGGAGCCCGGAGUGUGAGAGAGAGGCUCCCCCACACCCAUCCUGGGAAGGGGCCCAGAGUGUGAGCUGACUGGUGGGUGGGGGGCCAGGGAUGGGCUGUGGGCCUCGCCCUCUUCUGAAGGGUCCGCCCUUGAGUGCUGGGCGACUGAGAGGGCGGUUCACACCCUUGCCCUCAUCUGCUGAGGAUGCUCUCACAGAGUGCCGUACUUCUGUGACAGGAGCUUGUGAUCCAGCCAUAUACCCUGUUUCUCCUUCCUUCUAGGUCCGAGCUAUACCUGUGGACAUUGGUUUCUCCAUUGAAGAGCUGGAGGACCUUUACAUGGUGUUUAAGGCCAAGCACCUGGCUAGCCAGUACUGGGGGUGCAGCCGCACAAUGGCCGGCCGUCGGGACCCCAGCCUGCCCUACCUGGAGCAGUACCGGAUUGAUGCCAGCCAGUUCCGGGAACUCUUUGCCAGCCUGACACCCUGGGCCUGCGGCUCCCACACGCCUGUGCUGGCAGGGCGCAUGUUCAGGCUCCUGGACAAAAACAAGGACUCGCUGAUCAACUUCAAGGAGUUCGUGACGGGGAUGAGCGGGAUGUACCACGGGGACCUGACAGAGAAGCUCAAGGUGCUCUACAAGCUACACCUUCCCCCAGCUCUGAGCCCAGAGGAAGCCGAGUCAGCCCUGGAGGCGGCCCAUUAUUUCACAGAGGACAGCUCCUCAGAAGGUGAGCGGCCACUGGAACACCUGACAUGCCCAGCCAGCGCUCUGCAGCCACCGCAGCCUUCCUGUGGGGCUCGGGCAGUAGCCAGCAGUCCCACCUGGGCUCAGGGAGCAGGCCGCAUGGGGUUCUUCCCAGGGGACCACGGGCUGGGCCCUGCCAUGCUGGCGGGGGCUGGGGCUGCCCCCUGUGGAUGUCCUCACUCCUGUUUCUCUUGUGUCUCUGUCUUCCUGGACCUUGGCUCCUCCCCCGUCUGCCCCUCUGCCUCUCCUCUGCUGUCCCUUCCAGCAUCUCCUCUGGCCUCAGAUCUGGAUCUUUUCCUGCCCUGGGAGGCUCAAGGUCAGUCCCUGGAAGGCAGGGGCACCCCCUGUACCUCCUAACACUCUCCUGCACUAUCAGGAAGCCUGGAAGCUCUUUGUCCCAGGGACCCCUCUGGGACUUCAUCCUCUGGGGCAUAAGUUCUGAGAAGGACCCAGAAC
Molecule: small RNA, 1195 nt
Filed under: Pongo abelii (Sumatran orangutan)
Lineage: Eukaryota; Metazoa; Chordata; Mammalia; Primates; Hominidae
Description: retained intron
Source: RNAcentral